This 17000-nucleotide long non-coding RNA is filed under the name Marmota monax (woodchuck). The record is from RNAcentral. Lineage: Eukaryota; Metazoa; Chordata; Mammalia; Rodentia; Sciuridae.
UUGAAAGAGUUGUGAAGGCCCUUCUGAUUAAUGCUUUAGAUGAAUCUUUUUUGGGAUCAUUGUAUGGUAAGUUUAUAGAUAAAUGGAACAACUUUAUUUUUAAUUUUCCCAUUUUUUUAAACACUAUCACUUUUAAAACUUGAUUAAACAAAACUAAGGAUAACCAUUUUUAAGGCAUAAAAAUUGUUCCUUCUAGAAUGAAUUAUACCAAAAAUACAUUAAUUUUAAAAGCUUGUUAUUGUUUGUUAUUUGAGAUAUUUAGUAGAUAAGUUUGUGACAGGUCUUUGCCCUGAAAGAGUUUACAGUGAAUUUAAGGAUAUGACAUAUAAAACAGAAAGGUGCCUGAACACCCAUGUGCUCUCCUAGCUUAAGUUCUUUGAAUUUCACUGACAGUUAUAUGUUAUUUUAUACUUUUGUGCCUUUGUCCAUGCUGUUGCUGUUACUUUUUAUUUCAGAUUUUCUGAGUGUAAAAGCAUUCUACUAUGGAGGUUAUCUGUGACCCACAAAAGUGGUACUUUUCACUCUCUUAUCUCUUAUGGUAGAACUCAUCAUGUAUUUGCAACUUUUUUGUAUUCUAUUUAAAUAUAUUUUUCUUUUUUCCCCUACCAGAGUAUGAGAGGAACUAUAUAUAUACUCAUAUUUUGCACUCAGCACAGAAUUCUUUUUUUAAUAGACUAUAAGUAUGUUGUGUUGAAAACCUACCUAUGUGCCAAAAUAAGAUUUUAGUAAUAGUUUAUGGAAUAAAUAUUUAUUGAAUGCCUACUAUGGACCAGGCAUUGUUUGAGAGUAUAACUGCUAAUACCCCUAGGGGGGGAAAAUGUUUCCACAACAACUAGAAGGCCUGUGUAACUAGAGUGGGAUGAGUUGGGGGAAAGGGAGAUGAGUUCAGAAGAGUAGAUAUGGCAUAGGUGGACUCUGUAAGCCAUGUUUGUAAGGUACGGUUUGAAUUUAUAUUGACUUAAAGAAACAUGAUAAAUGUAUUAGCUAGAUUCGUUAAGAAAACAUCAGUUCCUCUCUAAACAAAUAGAAAAUAUUUUAUGAACCAAAUCAGGAAAACAGAAAUGAGUGUAACAACUAAAAGGGAAUGAAGGAAAGGACUAAUCAGAAAAUCAGUUCUGAUUUGUUGGUACAGGAGUUACCACUGGAUCAGUAGGAAGGCACCAAUGUCAGAGGGCCUUGAAAGCCUAGUCAGAACUUUUUUGAGGUUUUUUUUUUUUUUUCCUCAAGUUCAGUGGUUGAUCCAUGUUAGUUUUCUAAAGAUGAGAAUAAAAGAAGUAAUUUGGUAGGCAUUUUCACCUGGCUAUUUUUUAAGAGUAUAUUUUUAUUUUUUUAUACAUUUUAUUUUUUCAUUUAUUUUUAUGUGGUGUUAAAGAUGGAAGCCAGGACCCCACACCUGCAAGGCGAGCACUCUACCGCUAAGUCACAACCGCAGCCCCUGGCUCUUUUUUUAAUUAGAAAAUAAUGUAAAAGUUUGAUGUUUAUAAGAAGAAAAAUUGAGCCUUUUACCCUGUUUUCUUGCCCUUAUGCUUGGAUUUUUUUUUUUACCCUAUUACAUUUUAUUUUUAUAAUUCAAAGUAUUUCCAACCAACUAAUCAGCCAACCAUCCAUCUUUCUAAAACUAUGGAAAGAGAUCCUUAAAUGUACAAUUGCUUCAAUAUUGUAUGUAGAAAAAGUGAUUGUUUUAUUGUUGUUGUUGACCCCCUAAACAGAUGGCACCAGGCAAAAAUCGUAUGCACAAGAUAUGUUGACAUCUCUUCAUUAUUUGGAUAAUCGCUUUGUUCAGCCCCGCCUAGAGAGUUUAGCUUCUAGAAGUCGUUGGAAAGAGCAAUAUAAGGUAUAAUUUGUUUUUAAUCUUGGUUGGGGGGGGAUGGGACCUCUCAAGUCAGUGGGGUAUGUAGACCUCUCAAGAUUUCAAUUUCCAGUCAGAUGGAAUAGUCUUCUAAAGUAUUGGCAUUUCUCUUUUUUGGGUAAUUCUUUUCUAAAGGCUGUUAUUGUUUUAAUCAUCCACACUAUCUAAUCUGUUCAAUAAUUAGAUGGUUUUAAAUGAUAACAACUUUGGAACAUCUCUAGGGCUUAGCCUAUCUUUUAAAACCAGGAGAUUGUCUCACACAAUGUUAAUUGUUAUUUCAGAAGAGAUAGUUCUAUAGACAGAGAACUUUGAGAAACAGUGGUUUAAUUUACACUGGUUUCAGCCAGAUAUGGUGGUGCAUGCCUGUAAUCCCAGCAGCACAGAAGGCUGAGGCAGGAAGAUCUCAAGUUCAAAGCCAGCCUCAGCAAAAGUGAAGUACUAAGCAACUCAGUGAGACCCUGUCUCUAAAUAAAAUACAAAAUAGGGUUGGGGAUGUGGCUCAGUGGUUGAGUGCCCUGAGUUUGAUUGCUGGUUACCGAGCCGCCCCUCCACCCAACCCCCACCCCCCCAAAAAAAAUCUUGUUUCUUUACUGGAGGACUUUAUAGGAGCACUAACAUUUGAAUUUGUACUGUAUAUCUUCAGUGGGGAGUUUAGAAUGCAAUGCUUCCACAUUUGUGUUUUACUAUGAGGUUCCUUUGUAUGAAAUACAAAAUGGAUGUUUGAUUUUCAUGAAACAGUUUGAAAAACAUUGUCCUACAUGGUGUUUGACAUACUUGUUUAUCUUAAAUUUUGUUAUUCUACCAAUUUGGGGGAUUCACCUUUUUAAUUUAUAAGAUUUCCUGGAUUCCAUAUUAUUUUCUAGAUUUCUUGCAUAUAAUCUCUAAUAGUAGAAGAUAUACCACAUGAUUUUUCAGGGUCUUUAUAUUUCUACUUCCAAUAUUCUAUGAUCUAAUGUUUGUCAAGAAGGAAAAUGGUAGAUAAUGGAAGUUCAAGUCCCUUAAAAUACCUCUAUUACUUUAAUCAUUAGCUACCUCAUUUAUCAGAAGAUGUGGUUCCAUGCAAGGCCUGUUCAUUCUUGAAUUACAUGAUGACAAAUUUGCCAUCGAUGCUUAAGUUUCAGAGAUGGCUAUGGGAUUACAGGAUUAGGAGACUUCAAGUUAGAGGAUGGCUUGAGUUUAGGGUCAGCAUAUAUAUAUCUUUUUGAUUUGGGGUAAAGUUUUAACCUCUCUGAGCCUGUUUUAUCCUCAGAUAUGGAAAAUGUUUACCUACUUUGAAGGGAAAUAUUCACUUACUUUGAAGAUAAAAUGUAUAGCAGAGCUUUUAUAAUAUGCAUAAAAUUACUUUAAUAGAAAGAAAAUAGUAUAUAUUUCUAGAACAUUUAUCUUUUACCAAGUAAUUUACAUGGAAAGUAAACUUAUUUAAUCUUCAAAGAACCACGUAAGGAAGUCACUGUUUUUCUCCUAAAUUUUACAAAUAAAGAAACUGUAACUCAGAAAAAUUAAAUAACCUAAGAUUUUACAGCUAGUACUUUAUACAGGCCAACAUUUAAACUUAUAGUCAGACUCUUAAAACCCAUACUUUUAUGCCACAUUAUGCUUUACUAUACUAUGAUAGAUUAUAGUGAAUUUAUACCACCCCAUGCUAAAGUAACUGUCAGAUGUGCAAAAAUAUUAUAGACAGAUAAUUCAGGAAGAUCAUAAAAUGAGCUGAGUUAUACUGUAAAAGAUAAGAAAUAAUAAACAAAAUAAACAAAUAAUAAAAUCACAAUACUUUAGCCCAACAAAGUUUGUCACUUAUAUGUCCAAUGUGAGUCAUCAAGAGUUCUCUGCUCAUUGCAGUCACUCAGAAAAUCAAAAUGACAGAGCUUUCAACUCACGUUUCAUCUCAGCAUGUGUGUGCUUCCAUGAGUACCACAAACACAGGAAGGAAAGGUGGUUAGUCACGUAUUCAGUCUGAAUUUCAGCCUGUAAGUGACAGGUCAGAAAGUGUUGUGAAGUAUGAUAAAUAUGAAAGUUAAACAAAAACAAUGUUUUAAGUGUAUUAGAAACUUAAUUACCAUUGACUGGUAGAAGAUACAUAUGUAUAUUAGUAACCAUGUAAAUAUGCUCAUGAGUGCAUUUCAAAUAUUGUAGUAAAACCUAAUAUACAUUACUAAUUAGAACAGUAGUGUCUAACACAAACCUAGGUUAUAAGCAUAAUUACUCAGGUUUAAAUAACUUCACAGCUUAAGGAAGCUUAUUUUUGCACACUAAGUGUUUUCUCAGUCUUUUACUCAUUAAAUAAUUCCAACUAUUAGACUGUUCUUAUCAGUAUUGGACAAGUAAAAACCUUAGUUCCUAUGUGAUUAUUUUCAUAAGACUAUAGCAAGUAACCAUGAGAGGAUUAAAUCAUUUCUUGAAUAUUUUGUGGGAAUAUGAUAUAACUCAUAUAAUGGAGAAUGGAUUAUUUUUUUCUCAAUUUUUAUGUAGCUUAAAUUAACUCAUCUUGUUCUUAUCCUGAUUUUAUACUGCUCAUUUUUUCUUAUUUUUAAUACCUUAUUGAUGUUAAUUAGAAAUAAAAGGUAGAAAAGAAGUAAAUUAAAAUCCAUUGAGAACAAUACUUCAUACACUAAGUAGUAACUCAUAAAAGAGAUAAGAAACAUUUUUUUCCUAGUCUUGACUAUUUUUUUUAAGAGCCAGGACUAAAAAUUCAUGUUUAAGCGACUGGAAUAGUAGUAGAGCCCGUGCCUCAUAUGCAGGUAGCCCUGAGUUUGAUCCCAGUACUGAAAAAAAAAAUUAUUCUUUCAUUUAAAAUUAAUACCAACUCUGUGCUCAGUAUUAAGAAAUAUCAGUAGAUUUUGCUCUUAUAUUUUGAUUUCUAAGAUAUAUUUAAUUGGGUUAAUUCUUAUUUUAUUUUAAGCUCCCUUAUAUUUUUUAAUUGUUUUCAGGAGCGGGUAGAAAAUUAUUCUAAUGUGAGUAUCCACUGGAAGAAUCCUGAAAACUGUUCCUGUCAGGCUUGUGGAUUGCAUCGCCACUGCAGAUAUUCAGUGCAUUUAUCAGGAAAGUUGUAUAAUACCAGGACUAUGGAAACAGAUGAUUUUAUGUCACAUGAUAAACAGGUAUUUUUUAUCUUACUUUGGUUUUCAAUGCUUAGAAAUUUCAAUGCUUAUCAGUUCAUAAAUUUUCACAAAUAACCCUAAGUAAUUUUCACAUAGAGAAAAUACUAGAAGGAAAAAGAGUGCAGGUUUUUUUAAUGUGAAAAUAUGUGUUAUAUAGCAUAUUCUUUCAAAAUUCUGUGAGAUAAUAAAAUCAGUGCAUCUUUUCUAAGUAUGUACAUCACCCAAAUUUUGAGAGGAGGAGAAUACAGGAUAAAAAUGAUAAGGAAGAUUACGGGGAAGAGCAAGUACGAGUUGUCUUUGAAUCCAAAGCAGAAUUUGACUGAUGUGAAAACUUUUAUGGUAGUUAAUUCACCAAAUUGGUAGCCCACAAGUUACUAAUUGAAGGUGCCUAUUCAUCCUAUCAUAAGAGAAUUAAACUAUAACAGAAGCAUUUCAGAGUUCAGAGCAGUUACCACAUGCUUAAGUUGGUGCUGUGAAGAAUAAGUGUUUGACACACAAGAACAUAGAAUACAAUGUGAACAAAUGCUACUUCUCUUUAUUUGUUUAAUCUUACUUUAUAAGAAUACUCCAUUUAUAAAUACUACUGAUUGUGCAUAUUCUUGGAGCAUGUGUGUGUGUGUGUGUGUGUAGGAAUAGAAACCCAAAGUUGUCUCUGAAUUCUCCAAGUUAUUAAGGUGGAAAUACUAGUUAUUUGAAUUAUUCUACUAAAUUGAGUAGUAUGAUUCCUCAGUACUAUUAUGCAAUAAUUGGCCAGAUCCCUCUGGAUGCAAGAAUCAUUUGGAAAAUUUUAAUUUGUUUGGCAAGUUACUAUAAAAAUGUUUCUUUUCUUAGUAUAAUUAUACAUAUAUCCCCAUUGUUUAAAACUGGUUUAUAACUCUUUAUAAGACAAGACAUCUAGAAUCUGAGAAAAAGUGGUUUAAUACUUAAAGGACCAUUUUCUGGUGCAUAAAUCAAAGAUACUACUGUGCAUUCAUAGUCCUUGCUAUCUAUAACUAAUACUAAAGAAGAAAGUGAAGUUGGAAAAUUAAUUCCAGAGCUCUGACAUUCCUGUAAAGGAAUAAGAUUGUAUAUAAAAUGGUUGAUUGAAAUGUCUAAAGAAUAAAAUGUCUCAUGAAAUAAAAGUCGUAUAAUGAAAAAUAUUAAAGUUAAAUAGAAUUUUUAUUCUAUUUAAAGGCAUGGAAAUAAAACUAUCUGAAGAUGCCAGUUGAUAUGUCUUAAAAUAACAAAGUAUUUUUAAAUCAAAUGAUAAAAUGCAGCAUUGUCAAGGUUAUAUCAAAACUAGUAAGUUCAAGGAAAGUAAGAAUCCUAGAGGAAGAAAGGGUUUGAUAUAUAUUUUAAAAUACUAGAUGGCUACAUAUAACUAGAGUUGAAAGCUAAAUAUAGUAGUGCCUGAAAUUUGUUCUAUGCAGAGCAGGUCAAUAUAAACACAAGUUGAUAUGAUCAUGAAAUUAAUUGAAGUAUUAUUUAUAAGCAUUGAUAGACAAAAAUUAGAAAUAAUUCAAAUAAAAUAUUAAGGUAGUGUUGUGAUUAAUAGUCUGUGAUACAUCAGCAUUGCAUGAUAGAAUAUAACUAUUAAAAUAAUAUUUUGAAGGUUAUAUACUAUAGCUAAAUGAAAGUGAAAUAAUAAGCAGUGUAUAUGCUCUCUUUGCAUUAUGUAAGAAUGUAUGUAUAUAUAAAUAACUACAUGCAAACAUUAACCUAGCUAUUGUGUAUGUUAAGUGACUGGUAUUGAAAUUUUUUAAUAUUAAAUUGUUGCUUCAUUAAAUGUUUCUUCAAAAGGAAGACUCACUAAAAUUUAUUUUAUAUCCUGUUGAACUGUGGUAUCAAUGCAUUUAUGUAAAGAAAGAAAAAAGAGAAAUCAACGUAUUUAUAAUCUAGGGCAUUAAAAGACUGUGCCCACCCCCACAUCCAUCCUCAGGUGAUUUUGAAAACUAAUUCUCCAUUUUGUGGUUCUGCUUAUAGAUAUAUAAAAUCAAAACUCUAGGAUUAACUAGAGUUCUUUUUUAAGGUACAAAUAAUACUUUAAAAGAAUUCACUUAACAUUGAAUAUAUUUAAUGAUAAAACUUUUCCCCUCAAUAAAGAUUAGCUUCUUUGAAAGAAAGGAUGCUUUGAUUAAAGGUAGAAUUAAUUUGGAAGUAAUUUAGUUACAGCAGUGUAGGGUAGGGUACUGAAAUGAGAGACCUGGACCUCAAGAUUGUGGUGAAAUCUGAGGGCAUAAAUGAGAAGGAAGGAAAGAGAUGUUCAACUUGAAAAGCAUUCAGAGAACUAUAUAUUGAAUCAGUUUUCACUUUGUCCAGUCUGUCUGAAAUUCUUAAGAUGUUUAAUAUCUGAAGGGAAGAAGUAGUGAUUUUGAGAAAAGUAGCAGUGGUAAUGUGUCUAGGCAAAAUAAGCAGACCAAGAGAAAAUAGAAUCCCUUCACUGUUCUAUCACACUGUUUCUGGAAACCUAGAAACAAACUUCUUUUCUCUUUCCUUGAGAAUCCUUUUUUUUCCCCCUUUGUCCUCCGUACUUUAACUUCCACAGAGAGCUAAGCUACUCUGUAUAUAAAUGAGAACCUAGAAAAAUAUCCUCAAAACCUACCAAGUCUGCUUAAUGAAAGUUUUAUUCUUUUCCUUGCCCUAGGGUGUUAGCCUAUGUAAAUAUACAUAUCCACAUAACAUAGCUAAUAAAUUACAACUCAGAUGCUUUCUGUGUUUUGUAAUUUAGCAUCGUCUGCUUCUGGAAAAUUUGGUAACAAUUUUUAGUUCUGUUUCCAAUCUCUGGAUAUAUAUGAUCAGUCAGUUCACAUUGAUAACUGAAGUGACUCAAUUAUUUAUCAGUUCACAGAACUGUGAACCCUGUAUAGUGGAUUAGAAAUUGGGCUGGGUUUGUGGCUCAGUGGUAGAGUGCUUGCCUAGCACGUGUGAGGCACAGGGUUCAAUCCCUGGCAACACAUAAAAAUAAAUAAAAUAAAGGUAUUGUGUUUAAAAAAAAAAGAAAGAAAUCACUUAUAUAUCAUAUUGCUUAUCUGCUUUGUGAACACUCAGCACUUAUUUUUCUGUCUCUGGCAAAUAUUUUAUCCUAUCUUUCUUAUUUAAAUAGUUUUCUAUUAUAAAGAAAUAUACUGAGAUAACCAAAAUAGUUUGUGAAUAUAUUUCUGGACAUUUAAAUAAGGAAACUAUUAUAAGCACAGAUUAGAUUUACCUGUUUCAGUACUUAAUACAAAUGGAAUACUACAGUGUAAGGUAUGUUUUACUGGAUUAUUUAAUUCCUAUGGUGAAGCACAGUGGGCUGUAACAGUACACUAAACACAGAAUGAGAUAAGGGGAUAAGUUCACUUGGAAUAUUACACAUAUUAUAUGCAUCUACUGUAUUCUAUGAAAACUUAUAAGAGUAGGGCUCUUUCAUAUAAAAUGAGAUUUUUCCAUAGAGAAUGUGAUCAUAUUUGGGGGGAUAUGGCAUGAGAAUAUUCUAAAGGUAAUUCAGGAUUUUCUGACUUUUAUGAAGGUAAGUAGAAGUCAAGAGGGCAGGAAUUAAAAUGAAAAGAUGUUUUUAAAGAAUACUAAAGAAUUGAGAUAAGAAUUUUUAAACACCUUUCCUUCCCUUUUGUUCCAACUUUAAAAUCCCAUAAGAUAAAUUCUUUUUGUUUUGUGAAAAUAUAGAAUACAGUAUGAUGGAACUACACAUCUCAAUAUUAUUUGACUAUAUUUUAUUCCAGAACAUCUAUAGGAGACUUCUUUCACAAUCUACUAUAAUGGCAGAAGUAGAAACACACAGGGUACUACUAACAGUAGCCACGGCAGCUGUUGUGAUUCCUUUUUAUUUAAAGUGGGGUGUAUUGGCAAUUGAAUUGUUGAAAUGUCAUUUACCACCAGGAUUGGUUUGAUAAUAAUGCUAAAAUGGAAAAGCUACUUUAAUAAGCAAGCUGAGACAAUAAUACCUGUUUUACUUCUAAUGAUCCAAAAAAACAGGAAGGUUUUUGCAGAAGUAUGAGUGGAAAUCUGAACAUACUUUUCUUUAACUUUGGGGGAUUUUAGGAAAGGUUAUAAGGUGCCCAAAAUAUUAUCUCAACAAGAAAAUGUGUCAAAGAUCUGGAUAUUGCCAAUCAUAAUAUAACAAAUUCAUUUUUUGUAACAAAUUCUUGGCUUCUCUGUUAAAAAUCCUUAUGUGUUUUCUCCCUUGCAGUAUAGCUUCAGAAGAAAAGUUAAGUUCUUUAUCAGAAAUAAUGCAAGUUUGUAGAUAAGUAUUAAAGCUUAUUGUACUUAUACUGCACAAUCCAUUAUGUUUAAGCAUAGAGACAAAUACAUAAGUGAAUAAGACAUUUAUUUAUUCAAGUUACUCCAUGAUAAUAUUAUGAUCAUGUCAGAAUUUUGGGACCCCUUCUGAUAUUUUCUACAAUGAGUGAAAUAAUGUAGGUUAAAAUAUAUUUCAUUUGGUUAGUGCAAUGAUGCUAUCUUCCUAUUUUAGCAAUAGGUUUGUAUAACAAACUACAGGCAUUCAAAAUAUUCUGAAGGAAAAAAUGUUCUGGUUAGUUGAUUUCACAAAAAGAAAUAUUUUUAAUCAUAAAUCCUAGAAGUCCAUAAAAACUUAGAAAUUUAUAUUCUUACAGCUGGCAGACAAUAAAGUAUCAAUGCACCUUAUUAACACACUACAUUGAUUAAAGCAACAAAUAAAGCAAAAGUUAUUUUUGCUUUACAAAGUUUUGGAGUGGGGAGUAUUUAGUAAAAAAUUUCCAAUCUUAAUAUUGGUAUGGUAUAAGAGUUUGCUUCACUUUUAUAUGUUGCUUAAAUUAACAAAUGAUUGCAAAUCAAGCAUUUUUAACUCAGUUAAUAUGUACAUGUAUUACUUCCAUGUCCUUUCUUGCUUCCAUGUGUGUUCAUCUUUCUCCCUUACAAGCCAUUUCUCUCUUCCUUCCCAGACUGGGUUAAAUGUGUUUUCAAGACUUAGUUUGGGGGUAACUGAUUUGGGAACUUGUUUCUUCUCUGGGUUGGGUUAAGUGUCCCUCCUCCUCAUUAGCCUCUUGAUAACAUCUUGUAUAUAAUUCUCCCAAGACUGUAAGCUCCCUAAUAGAUAGCAUAUCUUUUUUCUCUUAUCUCCAGUGACUGGUUAUAUAAAUAAAAGAAGAAAAAGUAAUCACUAUAUAAACAAAAUAAAUAAGAAUGCAUUUUCUAGGUUCUAAUGUUAAAGAAAAUCUGAAAACAAGAAAGAUUAUAUACUCAUUACUACUAUAUUACUUCAUAGGUGAUACAGUAAUGUUUAUUUCUUGAUAUAGGUGUUUACUGUUGGCAGAAUAUGUGCUGAUCGUACCAGAAUUUAUCAUAAACUGAAACAUUUUAAGUUCAAACUCUACCAGGAAUGUUGCUCUCUUGCAAAGACAGAAGAAGUUGAGGAUGAACAGGUUAAAGAAACAGUGGAAAGAAUUUUCAGUCAGUCAAAAGAAAAUGGCUGGAUUAAAGAGGUAAGGUGAAUAUAGAAGAACCCUCUCAUUCUGUAGAUUCUAGAGCCUAAUUAUGAUCAGGAAAAACCCACAAAUUAUUAGAAGACAGUGAAAUUUAAAAGACAAUCUUUUCUUCGCCCCAUUUUUUUUGUAUUUUCUCUUCUUUCACACAUUCCUUUCAUGCUUAUCAUUACCCUACCCUGAACAGAUGUCCUGAUAUUCCAAGAAUUCACUCAGUUCAUCAGAUAAAUUUUAAUUAAUAAAAAGUUUGUCCCUUAGUGAAGGAUCUCUAUCCUUUCAUAUAUGUAUUCCAUAUAUAUGUAUCCCCUUAUUUUCUUUGACAAGGUAUAGGACUCAACUCUGCUUGUCUGCUUCCUAUUCUUUAGAACAGUUCUUGUGACCUGAGAGUGAAGAAGCACCUGGUGCCAAUCUGAGGAAAGGAUCUUCGCUGCCAGUUCUAAUACCACCCACAUCCUCUUCUUGAGGACAUGGGACUGAGCAGUGAGCAAUGUAACUGAAGAUCAAGGGGAAUGCGGAGGUUUCAGGCCAUCACACUGAUUUUGAUUUCCCCAUAUCCUGUUGAUCACUAAAUUUGAUAUCAGGAAUAGAGUGGGGUUUUGAAGAGUGCACUGGAUUCCCAAAGAUCUACUGGCAGCUCAUAGCUCUGGUCUGCUCACAGAGCUUUUAGAAUUGUUUAUAGUGCACAAAAAGAAUACUAAUAUGAUUGCAGUCUUCUAAAACAAGUCUAGUUACAUGGAUAAGUAAGAGAGAACAAACAGUAGAUUUCAGGCACCUCAGAUCAAUGGUAUAUACUUUAAAAAAAAAAAAAAACCUGCUUGAGAUCCAUUGCCUAGGCUAGAUCAUAGGGAAAUUUGUAGGUGGGAGCAAGGGUGGCAACAGAUCUUGGCAAACAAACUUCUGCAGAGGGAAAGAAAAACAAUAAAACAAAUUUCUUAGAACAUAUCAUCUUCAGUGGAGGUCUUCUAGUCUAGAGAAUGACUUCAUGGUUGGUUUCCAUUUUGACAAUAAUUUUCCCACUUCAUACCACCACCUAGUGAUCUUGCCUACCUCUGACGCCUUGAUCCUUAAGUCUUCUUUCAUUCAUUUUACUCUCUUCAUCUUUUUAUCUUUUCCUUUGCUUCUACUUUGCCUACUCCAGAUCUCCUCCCAUCCUGCUUGUGCUUUUCCAUUUGUGCUCUUCCAUAAGGGAAGAACCAUCAUUUAUCCAGUAACACAUCUUCAUUUUCCUAGAUGUUAAAUUCUUAAGUGUUUUUAUUGAUGCCUUUAGAGGUUGCCAACCCUCUAGUGAAAUUGGAAAACCUAUUGUGAUACUACAGUUAAAAAGGAUUGUGUACUAGGGAUAGAAAAAAUCACUGUGUACUUAUCAUUUAUAUUAUGUAAAAUUAUAUAUGGGAAACCUUAAAUUUCUUGAAAAAACAAAAAGCAUUUCCAAAUCAUGUACCUUCAAGAAAGCUUAACCAGGUUUGGGACAACAGAAGGGUCCUGGAAUAAGAAAUAUAUUCUUAGGGAGGAAAAUAACCAAAUCUCACAUUAGGCAUAUAGAGAAUAACAAUUAGCAUUAGGCAAUGAAGGCAUUUCAAGAUUAUACAUGUUUAGGACAAUAUAUAUAUAUAUAUUCAUAUUAAAAUAGCAAAGAGCUUCAUUUUCUUUUUGAGAUUUUUCCCUCACUUUAAAAAAAAAAUUUGUCUAUGAGAAUUUCUCCAAAGGUUUCCUAGAAACCAUGAGGUUUAUAGCCAACAUAAACCCAUAUGCAGUUUUUUGUGCUGUGAUAAAAUUUCAGAAUUUGUCAAAUUUGUUUACUCUGAUUUUAUCGCCCUCACUCUGUUUAUCCUUCUCUGUGUGAGCCUUUAUGUGACAACACUGCAUGUGUUUUGUGAUGCUUCCCUUCACUGGCUGCAAUCUUGUGGCCAUAGUUACUAUGACCCUUUAGAAUGUCUGGGCUCAGUGCAACUUGAAUGCCUAUCUCAGUGGCUAUUUCUGCUUUCACCUCCCAAUUAAACCAGAUCCUUCUUUUGCUUUAUACAAAGUAUUUGUUCCUAUCUUUCUGCUCCCAGCUUUUACCCACACUUUGCUUUUACCCUUACCUAUCCCUUCUCUUCCAAGCACUUUUCUUCCAUUACCUGAGGGUAUCUCAGUGUGUUCUCAAACACCUGCCAACUAGACUUCAUUCUUCUUGUUUUUACUCCAUAGCACUAAAUGAGGAUUAUCUGUUUCAGUCUAUUUAUACUAAAGGAAUGUAGAAGUAACUCAAAUAUAAAAAAGAAGAAGUGAUAGGAACAUUUAAUAAAACCAAAAUACAUAGCAAAUACAUAUGUCUCAUUUUUAAAUAAUAUGUGACAGGCAAAAUUCUAACAAAUGUUUUUUUUUAUUAAGAGGAAAGUUCAUAUAAUGAUGAAGUUUCCUAGGAAUUGAAAAUAAGAUUGUUGGGGUGGGGUAAUAGAUAUAUUAACACCAGGAAGUGAUGAAAGUAUGUUAUAUUAAGUCAGUUUUGCACUUGGAUCUGACAUAAUUUUCUUAUAUACAUAUAUGAAUAUUCCACAGUGAAUCUCACCAUCAUGUACAUCCACUAGUCUAGGGUCAUAAUUAGAAUAAGAUAUAUUCCAUGCUUGUAUAAUUAUAUCAAAAUGGAUUCUACUGUCAUGUAUAACUAAAAAGAGCCAAUAAAAUAAAAAAUAAAUUCUAAAUUUAUUGCAUAAAAGUUAUUAUAUAAAGAAGAACUUUAAAUUAUAACUAAAAACUCUUCCCUUUUCUUAAAUCGUUCUGAUUUCUUCUCUUUUUUCCCUACCUUUUAACUUAACUUUCCUUUUUUCCCCCCUAUCCUUUAAGAUGAUGUUUCUCAAAACAUUGCCUUUGACAGCCUAUAUCAAAAUCACCUAGUUUGUGAAAAAUAUAUAAUCUCUGGCUUCAUCUAAACUUAUUGAAUGAGAAUCCUUGAUGGUGAUAAACAUCCAAUGUUUUAAAAAUUGAGUGAUUAAGUUAUAUACAAGGACCACUACUUGAAAGGACAUAUUACAUUAGAUUAUGUCUUCAGCUUCUCAAAGCUGCUUUGACAAAUAUAUUCCAUUCUGUAGAUCUAGGCUGCUACUUCUUAGUAAAGGACUCCAAGCUCCUUUUAUUUUCUGACUGCUUUCCCACAGUCCCAACUGUUUAUAUUAGUAAGCCCAUCUGGUACUAUAAGAGAGUAGUCUUCAUUAUUAAAAUAAGAUCUAAACUCUCCAAAUGCUCAGUGAAGAAGACCUAAGGGAGCUGUAUCUUUAGGUGGAGAAAAUGGCAAAAGUAAUACCAACUGUCUUUUUCUCUGUUUCACUGUCCCUUUUGAGGUUUUUUCCAUUUUUGUCAUCAAAGCUGCUACCUUCUUGUCCCCCCUCCCCACUUUAAAUCUCAGAAACACUAUACUACUAUAAUGGUUAAAUGCAUGGAUUUAAGUAUUUGCUCUGCCAUUUACUAGCAAUAGAAUUUGGAGGUAAGUUAGUUUAUUUCUAUAAAUCUAAAGUUUCUAUAAAACAGGAAUUAAAUAAUAUGAAUUAGGAUUUUGAUUUUGGAAUUAAAUAAGUAGCACAUUUUAAACAUUUAUUAUAGGUCCUAGCAAUUAAAAAGUGAUCAAUUAAUGUUAGCUAUUAUUUGUAAUAAAAGCAAGGAGAGAUUUUGCAUCCUUUAUAUAUAUUGGAUAGAGCCAGAUACUGUGGCACACAACUGUAACCCCAGUUACUCAGGAGGCUGAAGCAGAAGGAUAGAAUGCCUGAGAUCAGCCUAGGCAAUGACCUUCUCCCAAAGUAAAAUUUUAGAAAAAGAGCUAGGGACAUAUCUUAAUGGUAGAGUGUUUGCCUAGCAUGCGUGAGGUCCUGGGUUCAGUCCCACUAUUGAAAAAAAAAAAAGAUAAAAGAUAAAUUAAAAUUUUCAGGAACAAAUUUAAUAAAUAAAAAAGAAAAACAACAUAAAAGAAAAAUAAUAAUAAUAAUAAAAGAUAAUAAUAAGAAGAUAAAUAAUAAUAAUAAGAUAAAAGCAUCAAACAACUAAACUUUUAAAGUAUACAUUUCUUAAAGUACUUUACUUAUAUCUAGUAAAACCUAUCUGAGACUAGGCCAAGAAAAUUCCUAAGUAGUCUUAUAAGUUAUUCCUCCUCUUGUUCUUUUCUUCCUCCUUUCCUGAGAAGGUGAUGUAAUCAGAGAUCUUGGGGUUAUAAAAAAAGGUUUCAUGGCCUUAUCUAGAAGGAAGAUGGACUCCUCAUAUUCCCUUCUAUAGAUCUCUACCACCACAAGGUUCUUAGAGAUCUUCUCUCAUCUUGAUAGGGAUAGACCCUCGGAGUUCAUAUCAAGAAACCAUAAGAUUACAUAACCUCCUCAACUGAAGAAAGCAUUUUGCACUCUGUAUAUCCCAAACUGAACUCAUAUAUCUCUUUUGCUCCCCCAAGCUACUUGUGAAAUGGCCCUGCUCUUUCUCCUACUCACUCACCUUGAUAUCUCAAAAUCAUCCUCGACUCCUCUCUUAACUUGUUCCACCCUGUUCCUUAUCCUCCAUCUUCAUUGCUAUCACUCAAAUUUGAGCCCUCGUGACCUAACUUGUAACCAUAGGUUCAUAAUUGGUUGUGAAAUCGUUCUAGAAUGGCUGUUUUACCAAUUUCCUUAAAAUAUACCUCAGAUCAGGUCAGUCCUCUGCUCCCAGAUCUUUAGCACCAUUCCAUGGUCUGUUAAAUUAUUAUUCCACUCCUAACAUACUUUUUAUUAUCUGACCAUAAUCUCUUUAGUUCAAUCUUAUCUCUCUCAAUUCCUUAGAGUAUAGUCAAAGCCCAUACUUCCUUAUCAAGUUACUGUUGGAUGAACAUGUUAUCUCUUGCAGAAAAAUUUGCUAACUUUUUGCCUACAAAAUCUUUGUGCCAAGGACAGCUUGAAUGUCAUUCUUUUCCAACCACUUCAGCAAACUAUGACUUCUGAACCCUCAUAACAUGUUUUUACUCCUUCAUGACACUUAUUAUGAUUGUUAAUAGUGUAGUACUACUAAGCUCUAGUCUCCAUUGGGGCAGGGAAAGUAUCUUUUCGAAACUCUGUACCUUAUAAGUCAUUAGUUUUGACAUAUAUGUCCUAUAAAUAUUUUUAAUGUUAUUAAAGUAAUUAAAUUUCUACUAUAAAUAUUAUAAUGGAAAAUUAUAAUUUGUGAGUUAUGAAAUUAAUUAUACUAUUGUUUGAUUUUUUACCAAUGCUUUCUAUGAGUUAGAUAUUUUUAUUUGAAAUUGAGUUCCUAACUAUAAUAAAAAGAUAUUUGUUCCCAAUUACUAUGAAAUGCAUUUCUGUUGUAGUUUGAAAAAUGUGUGUAGUUUGAAAAGGUCUAGCUUAUCUUCACUGCUUUGAGUUAAAUAACUAGCUUUUUCAUUGUAUAUGCAGAAAUAUGGUCAACUUGAAGAAUAUCUCAAUUUUGCGGAUUACUUUCAAGAUGAGAAGUUUGACUGAAUUGUAAUACAUUUCCUUCAGAGAAGAUUUUAUAAAUUCCUGUAAAUGUGAAGAUCAUGAACCUUGUUUCACUGUACUAUGUGGCAUUUUAUAUGUUUUUUGUGUAUCUUCAAGCAAAAUAUCUUGUUUAAAACAUGUUCAUUUAAUUUCCCAUGAAAUGGCACUCUAUAUCUGAUAAAACUUUUAUCUGCUGUACAUGGAAAACAAGCUUAAUAAUUUUUAAGCCCAUAAAUGUAUUUUUAAAGUUAUCUAACAAUGCCUUUAUUACAGAUGACUAUCAAGUGAAUGAGCUAAUCAUGUUCUGUCAGUUUAGUAGAAAUAUAUUGUAUUUUAAAAUAUUUAGCCUAACAUCUCUAUAUAUUUAAUGUUGAAUCUCUGUUUGGAUCUAUUUGUUAUCCUUUUACAGUAUUAAAUGGUUUUCUUCACUAAUAUAUUUUUUAUUACUAUCAUCUAAACUGCCAUAGAAGAAACCUCAAUGUAUCAUUCAGUAAAGUCCCCUUGCUUCAUAAUCAGACUGUAGUUUUUCUGUUCCAAAUAGAGGAGUGCUUUAUGCUUUUUCUAAAGUUUUCCUUAAAAAUGAAUUUCGGGCCUCUGAGAGUCUUUCAAACCUCACAUUCAAGAAAAAUUUCAUGAUCUGUAUUUUCAUACUUUAUGUUAUUUCUUUUUUCUAUUCAGUUUUGUGUAGAUGUUAAUGAUUAAUAUAUAUUUUAUUUUUACCCAUAACUUUCCCAAUAUAUGCGUAUAUGUUAGGGUCUGAAGAUUCCAGAGACAAGUUCAGCUAAAAAUACUUUAAAAGUAUAUUUUGGUAUCUGCAUUACUUUGCACAUCUUCAUUUUCCCAGAGUAUAAUAAACAGUUGCAGAGUGAACAAAUGGACCCUGUCUAUUCCAUCUUUAAUUCUCAAUAAUGGUAUUCUAAAAGGAUCUCUUCUACUGUGGAAUUUUAGAUUCUUUUUCUUACUGGAAGUCUUAAUUGAACCUCGCUUCAUCUAUUAAUGAGAUUCACAGCAUGGACCUCAAUGUAUGUAUAUACAUAAUAAAUAUCUACAUUUUAUUAAAUCCUUACAAGGAAGAUUAGUUCAUAUUUUCUGUAAUUCAUUUUCUGUAAUUAUCCCUAUUAUUAUUUUAAACAAAUUGGAUUUUAAAGACUCACAAAGUGGUGAGAAUACUGAU